RNAcentral lists this ribosomal RNA (232 nucleotides) under uncultured bacterium. RNAcentral describes it as "partial 16S ribosomal RNA". It matches the Rfam family "Bacterial small subunit ribosomal RNA", at positions 15 to 236 of the family's 1533-position model. The record is from RNAcentral.
GAUCUUGGCUCAGGAUGAACGCUAGCUACAGGCUUAACACAUGCAAGUCGAGGGGAAACGAUAUUGGAAGCUUGCUUCCGAUAGGCGUCGACCGGCGCACGGGUGAGUAACGCGUAUCCAACCUGCCCACCACUUGGAGAUAACCUUGCGAAAGUAAGACUAAUACCCAAUGAUAUCUCUAGAAGACAUCUGAAAGAGGUUAAAGAUUUAUCGGUGAUGGAUGGGGAUGCGU